UUUUGGCUAGCUCAGUUGGUAGAGCAUGAGGCUUUUAAUCUCAGGGUCAUGGGUUCAAGCCCCAUGCUGGGUG
RNAcentral lists this transfer RNA (73 nucleotides) under Pelodiscus sinensis (Chinese soft-shelled turtle). It matches the Rfam family "tRNA". From Rfam's summary of the family: Transfer RNA (tRNA) molecules are approximately 80 nucleotides in length. Their secondary structure includes four short double-helical elements and three loops (D, anti-codon, and T loops). Lineage: Eukaryota; Metazoa; Chordata; Testudines; Trionychidae. The record is from Rfam by way of RNAcentral.